UCCUGGGUGAGAAAUGAUGAGCAUGUCAGUAUUCUUCAUGCCAAAGUGAAGACAUGAGAUCCAACUCUGAGCUCACCAUAU
Ochotona princeps (American pika) is the source of this 81-nucleotide small nucleolar RNA. The record is from Ensembl. Lineage: Eukaryota; Metazoa; Chordata; Mammalia; Lagomorpha; Ochotonidae.